CUUGCUCCCUGAUGUUAGCGGCGGACGGGUGAGUAACACGUGGGUAACCUGCCUGUAAGACUGGGAUAACUCCGGGAAACCGGGGCUAAUACCGGAUGGUUGUUUGAACCGCAUGGUUCAGACAUAAAAGGUGGCUUCGGCUACCACUUACAGAUGGACCCGCGGCGCAUUAGCUAGUUGGUGAGGUAACGGCUCACCAAGGCGACGAUGCGUAGCCGACCUGAGAGGGUGAUCGGCCACACUGGGACUGAGACACGGCCCAGACUCCUACGGGAGGCAGCAGUAGGGAAUCUUCCGCAAUGGACGAAAGUCUGACGGAGCAACGCCGCGUGAGUGAUGAAGGUUUUCGGAUCGUAAAGCUCUGUUGUUAGGGAAGAACAAGUGCCGUUCAAAUAGGGCGGCACCUUGACGGUACCUAACCAGAAAGCCACGGCUAACUACGUGCCAGCAGCCGCGGUAAUACGUAGGUGGCAAGCGUUGUCCGGAAUUAUUGGGCGUAAAGGGCUCGCAGGCGGCUUCUUAAGUCUGAUGUGAAAGCCCCCGGCUCAACCGGGGAGGGUCAUUGGAAACUGGAGAACUUGAGUGCAGAAGAGGAGAGUGAAAUUCCACGUGUAGCGGCG
RNAcentral lists this ribosomal RNA (620 nucleotides) under Bacillus siamensis. Its description in RNAcentral is "bacterial SSU rRNA". It matches the Rfam family "Bacterial small subunit ribosomal RNA", at positions 79 to 683 of the family's 1533-position model. The record is from RNAcentral. Lineage: Bacteria; Bacillati; Bacillota; Bacilli; Caryophanales; Bacillaceae.